GUUGAAGAAGCUUGAACGGGGUAAGACCCGAAAUCAAAUCCACGGUUUCUCAUGAGGGGUCAUCUGGGUCAGAGAGUAGCAGUCAGUCGUGGAUGAUUGCCGAAACGGCUGGGCAACGCGGUGGUAAGAAGGCGGCGAUCGGCGAGGUUUCUGUGCCGGGUGGUCAGAAUCAUACCGGCUCGUGUCGCUUCUUAAAUAUUUCCGCGAAAACCUCUGGUUUCGAUUCUCUGAAAGCCCAUGAUCCAGUGAUGGCUCCAGCAGUGAAGCCUGUGGAGAAUGAAACUGCUUUUUCAAGGAAUUGAAAGACGAGUUGCUUUCAGCUAUGUCUGGGUCUGUAAAUGAAAGUAAGGCUCGAGUGGGUUUAGUUUUGAAGAAACUGAGUCCAUUGUGAGCAUUACUGUGGUUGUGGAGCAUCUGGGGACCUUACUAAGAAGAAGAUAUUCCCGCUCUUUUCGUGCUUUAUUAUGAGGGUCGCGUCCCUAAGCACUUCACUAUUUUUGGUUAUGCUCGGAAUAAGAUGACUGAUGCGGAGCUAAGAACUAUGGUUAGCAAGACACUUGCUUGCAGAAUUGACUAGAGAUUUACAAGGUUAACUCUAGCAUGCUCUAAAAGAAUGACAAAUUGGAUGUGGAUUAGGAUAUGAUCCAUGUUCGCCAACUUGGUGGCUUUUUGAGAUUCACACUACAAAACUUGUGGUGCUAUGGAUCUUUCUCUUUACAUUUUGUUAAUAGUUGGAAAGUUAACAAUUGAUGUACUAGAACUGUAUGCAAGAUUUUAUCGGUAAUAUGAAUGUUUAUCGAAUUUAUGAAGUGUAUGUAUAAUUUGUGUGG
RNA transcript from Fragaria vesca subsp. vesca, 830 nucleotides. RefSeq lists it as uncharacterized. The record is from RefSeq and is a predicted model, not a curated record. The transcript has 4 exons. Lineage: Eukaryota; Viridiplantae; Streptophyta; Magnoliopsida; Rosales; Rosaceae.